Molecule: unclassified non-coding RNA, 210 nt
Filed under: Hevea brasiliensis (rubber tree)
Lineage: Eukaryota; Viridiplantae; Streptophyta; Magnoliopsida; Malpighiales; Euphorbiaceae
Source: RNAcentral
AGAGAGAGAGAGAGAGAGGGUAUUAUAAUAAGACAAGAGCAGAAAAUGAAAGUGGGGUUAUGACAUUAGAAGAGCAGAUGGUAGCAUGGGGUACCACCAUGGUAGCUUUGCUGUUUUUUUUUUCUUUCUUUUUUUUUCUUUUUUGUUUUUCUGCUCCUUCUUAUACCUGUAGAGUAAUAAACUUUUAGAGAGAGAGGGAUAGAGAACGAA